Molecule: ribosomal RNA, 230 nt
Filed under: uncultured bacterium
Lineage: Bacteria
Description: partial 16S ribosomal RNA
Rfam family: Bacterial small subunit ribosomal RNA
Source: RNAcentral
GCAAGUCGAACGAGAAGCUACCUUCGGGUAGUGGACAGUGGCGCACGGGUGCGUAACGCGUGGGAAUAUGCCUUUAGGUGCGGGACAACAGUUGGAAACGACUGCUAAUACCGCAUAAUGUCUUUGGACCAAAGAUUUAUCGCCUAGAGAUUAGCCCGCGUUGGAUUAGCUUGUUGGUGAGGUAAAGGCUCACCAAGGCUACGAUCUUUAGCUGGUCUGAGAGGAUGAUC